This 1276-nucleotide ribosomal RNA is filed under the name Klebsiella oxytoca. Its description in RNAcentral is "partial 23S ribosomal RNA". It matches the Rfam family "Bacterial large subunit ribosomal RNA", at positions 911 to 2166 of the family's 2925-position model. Lineage: Bacteria; Pseudomonadati; Pseudomonadota; Gammaproteobacteria; Enterobacterales; Enterobacteriaceae. The record is from RNAcentral.
UGUUUCGGCUAGGGGGUCAUCCCGACUUACCAACCCGAUGCAAACUACGAAUACCGAAGAAUGUUAUCACGGGAGACACACGGCGGGUGCUAACGUCCGUCGUGAAGAGGGAAACAACCCAGACCGCCAGCUAAGGUCCCAAAGUCAUGGUUAAGUGGGAAACGAUGUGGGAAGGCCCAGACAGCCAGGAUGUUGGCUUAGAAGCAGCCAUCAUUUAAAGAAAGCGUAAUAGCUCACUGGUCGAGUCGGCCUGCGCGGAAGAUGUAACGGGGCUAAACCAUGCACCGAAGCUGCGGCAGCGACACUAUGUGUUGUUGGGUAGGGGAGCGUUCUGUAAGCCGUUGAAGGUGGCCUGUGAGGGUUGCUGGAGGUAUCAGAAGUGCGAAUGCUGACAUAAGUAACGAUAAUGCGGGUGAAAAACCCGCACGCCGGAAGACCAAGGGUUCCUGUCCAACGUUAAUCGGGGCAGGGUGAGUCGACCCCUAAGGCGAGGCCGAAAGGCGUAGUCGAUGGGAAACAGGUUAAUAUUCCUGUACUUGGUGUUACUGCGAAGGGGGGACGGAGAAGGCUAUGUUGGCCGGGCGACGGUUGUCCCGGUUUAAGCAUGUAGGCGGAUGUUCCAGGUAAAUCCGGAACGUCACUAACGCUGAGGUGUGAUGACGAGGCACUACGGUGCUGAAGUGACAAAUGCCCUGCUUCCAGGAAAAGCCUCUAAGCAUCAGGUAACAUCAAAUCGUACCCCAAACCGACACAGGUGGUCAGGUAGAGAAUACCAAGGCGCUUGAGAGAACUCGGGUGAAGGAACUAGGCAAAAUGGUGCCGUAACUUCGGGAGAAGGCACGCUGAUGGUAAGUGAAGUGACUUGCUCAUGGAGCUGAAAUCAGUCGAAGAUACCAGCUGGCUGCAACUGUUUAUUAAAAACACAGCACUGUGCAAACACGAAAGUGGACGUAUACGGUGUGACGCCUGCCCGGUGCCGGAAGGUUAAUUGAUGGGGUUAUCCUCACGGAGAAGCUCUUGAUCGAAGCCCCGGUAAACGGCGGCCGUAACUAUAACGGUCCUAAGGUAGCGAAAUUCCUUGUCGGGUAAGUUCCGACCUGCACGAAUGGCGUAAUGAUGGCCAGGCUGUCUCCACCCGAGACUCAGUGAAAUUGAACUCGCUGUGAAGAUGCAGUGUACCCGCGGCAAGACGGAAAGACCCCGUGAACCUUUACUAUAGCUUGACACUGAACACUGGUCCUUGAUGUGUAGGAUAGGUGGGAGGCUUUGAAGUGUG